RNAcentral lists this unclassified non-coding RNA (1340 nucleotides) under Hevea brasiliensis (rubber tree). Lineage: Eukaryota; Viridiplantae; Streptophyta; Magnoliopsida; Malpighiales; Euphorbiaceae. The record is from RNAcentral.
UCGGCCAUUUUCUACACCUUCUAUGAAGCCCAAGAUCCAGUCUUACCUCUCUCCCAAACCCCACUUCUUAUCUGGCUUCAGGGUGGCCCUGGCUGCUCCUCCAUGAUAGGCAACUUCUUUGAGCUCGGUCCAUACCGUGUAGUUGAUACUCAGGGUGAAAACAUCCAACACCUUUCUCUUGAACGCAAUAUAGGCUCUUGGAACCGCAUUUUUGGCCUUAUUUUCCUUGAUAAUCCAAUUGGAGUUGGGUUUAGUAUCGCUGCUACACCCGAAGAGAUACCCAGAGAUCAACACACUGUUGCUAAGCAUCUCUUUGCUGCGAUCACUGGGUUUAUUGGUUUGGACCCAGAUUUCAAGAAUCGUCCACUUUAUAUCACUGGUGAGAGUUAUGCAGGUAAGUAUGUUCCUGCAAUUGGGUAUUACAUUUUGAAGCAGAAUAUGAGGUUGCCAGAGGCAGAGCAAGUGAACUUGAAAGGUGUGGCUAUAGGUAAUGGGUUAAUAGAUCCACUGACACAAGUGAAAAUUCAUGCUGUAAAUGCAUAUUUUUCUGGUUUGAUCAAUGAGAGGCAAAAGGGUGAAUUGGAGGAAGCGCUGUGGAAGGCAGUUGAGUUCGUUAAAAUGGGAAAUUGGAGCGAGGCAACAAAUGCAAGGUCUGAAGCCUUGGAUUUGCUCCAAAACAUGACAGGGUUGGCCACCUUGUAUGACUUCUCGAAGAAGGUUCCUUAUAAAACGAGGUUAGUCACCAAAUUCCUGCAAUCAGUGGAGGUGAAGAAGAAAUUAGGUGCAAAAGAAUCUAUAGUUUUCGAUGAAUGCAGUGAUGUGGUGGGGAAUGCACUGCUAGAGGAUGUGAUGAAGAGUGUGAAGUAUAUGGUGGAAUUGUUGGUGAAGAAGAGCAAGGUAUUGUUGUAUCAAGGGCAUUUUGACUUGAGAGAUGGUGUGGUUUCCACUGAGGCUUGGGUGAAGACAAUGAAAUGGGAGGGAAUAGAGAGGUUUCUGAUGGCGGACAGAAAAGUGUGGAAGGUGAAUGGAGAGCUUGCUGGGUAUGUACAGAAAUGGGGAAGCUUGAGCCAUGCUGUGGUACUAGGAGCAGGUCAUCUUGUGCCUACUGAUCAGGCAUUAAAUUCUCAGGCCAUGAUAGAGGAUUGGGUUUUGGAUAGGGGCGUCUUUGCUUUUGAGCAAAAUAAGGAUUCUGCAUUAGACUCCUAAGGGUCAGUUCACUCUGAAAUUUGUAGCUGAUGCAUUUUCUGUAGCAACUAGCAAGACUAGGUUACUGUAUGAGUCGGUGAUUGUGGAAGUUGCUAGUAAAUUUCAUUAAUAAUGCGCAUUGGGCUUGUUAUUUC